Haliotis rubra (blacklip abalone) is the source of this 363-nucleotide long non-coding RNA. RefSeq lists it as uncharacterized. The record is from RefSeq and is a predicted model, not a curated record. The transcript has 3 exons. NCBI's taxonomy places the organism in Eukaryota, Metazoa, Mollusca, Gastropoda, Lepetellida, Haliotidae.
UGACGGGACCCACUGAGAGACACCACAGCAAGAGUCAGACACAUGUUAUACAGCCAGACACCAGACAGACACAGAUACACCCACAGAGGUACAUGUCAUAAUGGCAGACGACGAAUUGAAGUUUUAAACAGACGUCCUACUGGAAUCGAUUUCAAGAAUGGGCAAAAAUGACCAUUAUUUUCAAAAAUCGAAUGAACACAAAUUCAAAUUCCACAAUGUGUACAAGACACAGUUGUCAAGGAAAUUAAAUACAAUGGGUCACUCAAAUCACUAGAUUUUUGCUAAGUGAGAAACAAGCAGGUCCUGUCUGAAAGGUAGAACCUACCGUUAACACAUUGUGCAGACUAAAUGACAAUUAGUUUC